UGAACGCUAGCGAGAUGCUUUACACAUGCAAGUCGUACGGGAGUUUUUAACUCUAGUGGCGGACGGGUGAGUAACACGUAAGAAUUUGCCUUUAGGAGGGGGAUAACAUCGUCAGAAAUGAUUCGAGAAAUUGAUGCUAAUACCCCAUAUGCUUUCGAGUGAAAUGGAGUUUUCCGCCUAAAGAGAAGCUUGCGGCUGAUUAGCUUGUUGGUGAGGUAAUGGCUUACCAAGGCGACGAUCAGUAUCUGGUUUGAGAGGAUGAUCAGACACACUGGAACUGAGACACGGUCCAGACUCCUACGGGAGGCAGCAGUGGGGAAUUUUCCGCAAUGGGCGAAAGCCUGACGGAGCAAUCUCGCGUGAGGGAUGACUGCCUAUGGGUUGUAAACCUCUUUUUUCAGGGAGGAAUAAAUGACGUUACCUGAAGAAUAAGCAUCG
Molecule: ribosomal RNA, 438 nt
Filed under: uncultured bacterium
Lineage: Bacteria
Description: bacterial SSU rRNA
Rfam family: Bacterial small subunit ribosomal RNA
Source: RNAcentral